UAGGGAAUCUUCCGCAAUGGACGAAAGUCUGACGGAGCAACGCCGCGUGAGUGAAGAAGGAUUUCGGUUCGUAAAACUCUGUUGUUAGGGAAGAAAAAAUGUAUAGUAACUAUAUACAAAAGAGACGGUACCUAACCAGAAAGCCACGGCUAACUACGUGCCAGCAGCCGCGGUAAUACGUAGGUGGCAAGCGUUGUCCGGAAUUAUUGGGCGUAAAGCGCGCGCAGGCGGACUAGCCAGUCAGUCUUAAAAGUUCGGGGCUUAACCCCGUGAUGGGAUUGAAACUACUAGUCUAGAGUAUCGGAGAGGAAAGUGGAAUUCCUAGUGUAGCGGUGAAAUGCGUAGAUAUUAGGAAGAACACCAGUGGCGAAGGCGACUUUCUGGACGAACACUGACGCUGAGGCGCGAAAGCCAGGGGAGCGAACGGG
Molecule: ribosomal RNA, 428 nt
Filed under: Verrucomicrobiota bacterium
Lineage: Bacteria; Pseudomonadati; Verrucomicrobiota
Description: Verrucomicrobia bacterium partial 16S ribosomal RNA
Rfam family: Bacterial small subunit ribosomal RNA
Source: RNAcentral